Molecule: non-coding RNA, 321 nt
Organism: Podarcis lilfordi (Lilford's wall lizard)
Lineage: Eukaryota; Metazoa; Chordata; Lepidosauria; Squamata; Lacertidae
Source: the annotation of a GenBank genome assembly
GCAGCAACAGCAGCCGCCGCGGCGGGCGGCCACCGCCUUUUCCUCGCCUUCGCCCUGCCCGGGGGAGAAGAAGGGGGCGCCAGCGGGCGCCGUCGGUCCACCCGUCUAUCCGCCCGCCUGGGGCGCGCUGGAGUCUGGCGACAGCGGCCCCGCUACCUUUUUGGCGCGGGGAUGCGGAGGAGCCGCUGAGUGAGCGAGCUGGGCGGGGGGAGUCGGCUGGCUGGCACCCGCCCGAGGCGAAGCUGGGCUGGGCGCCUGCACGAUGCGCUUCCUCGCAGACCUGCUCUUGCUGUCGAUCGCUGUCUCCAGGACGGCUCAGGU